UGGUGGUGUUCUUAAUCGUAUCAA
This 24-nucleotide non-coding RNA is filed under the name Arabidopsis thaliana (thale cress). Lineage: Eukaryota; Viridiplantae; Streptophyta; Magnoliopsida; Brassicales; Brassicaceae. The record is from RNAcentral.